This 889-nucleotide ribosomal RNA is filed under the name uncultured bacterium. Its description in RNAcentral is "bacterial SSU rRNA". It matches the Rfam family "Bacterial small subunit ribosomal RNA", at positions 505 to 1397 of the family's 1533-position model. The record is from RNAcentral.
GUGCCAGCAGCCGCGGUAAUACGGAGGAUGCAAGCGUUAUCCGGAUUUAUUGGGUUUAAAGGGUGCGUAGGCUGUGCGGCAAGUCAGGGGUGAAAGCCCGUCGCCUAACGACGGAACUGCCUUUGAUACUGUCGCGCUGGAAUACGGAUGCCGUGGGAGGAAUGAGUAGUGUAGCGGUGAAAUGCAUAGAUAUUACUCAGAACACCGAUUGCGAAGGCAUCUCACGAAUCCGUCAUUGACGCUGAGGCACGAAAGCGUGGGGAUCAAACAGGAUUAGAUACCCUGGUAGUCCACGCAGUAAACGAUGAUGACUAACCGUCGGCGAUACACAGUCGGUGGCCAAGCGAAAGCGAUAAGUCAUCCACCUGGGGAGUACGUUCGCAAGAAUGAAACUCAAAGGAAUUGACGGGGGCCCGCACAAGCGGAGGAACAUGUGGUUUAAUUCGAUGAUACGCGAGGAACCUUACCCGGGCUCGAACGGCAAGCGAACGAGGCAGAGAUGCCGAGGCCCUUCGGGGCGCUUGUCGAGGUGCUGCAUGGUUGUCGUCAGCUCGUGUCGUGAGAUGUUGGCUCAAGUGCCAUAACGAGCGCAACCCUUGCUGCCAGUUACCAGCACGUGAAGGUGGGGACUCUGGCAGGACUGCCACCGCAAGGUGUGAGGAAGGCGGGGAUGACGUCAAAUCAGCACGGCCCUUACGUCCGGGGCGACACACGUGUUACAAUGGUGACUACAGAGGGAUGCCACCCAGCGAUGGGGAGCGGAUCUCGAAAAGUCAUCUCAGUUCGGAUUGGAGUCUGCAACUCGACUCCAUGAAGCUGGAUUCGCUAGUAAUCGCGCAUCAGCCAUGGCGCGGUGAAUACGUUCCCGGGCCUUGCACACACCGCCCGU